Molecule: ribosomal RNA, 385 nt
Filed under: uncultured bacterium
Lineage: Bacteria
Description: bacterial SSU rRNA
Rfam family: Bacterial small subunit ribosomal RNA
Source: RNAcentral
ACGAACGCUGGCGGCGUGCUUAACACAUGCAAGUCGAGCGGUAAGGCCCUUUCGGGGGUACACGAGCGGCGAACGGGUGAGUAACACGUGGGUGACCUGCCCUUAGCUCUGGGAUAAGCCUGGGAAACUGGGUCUAAUACCGGAUAUGACUCCAUGACGCAUGUUGUGGGGUGGAAAGCCUUGUGCGGCUAGGGAUGGGCCUGCGGCCUAUCAGCUUGUUGGUGGGGUGAUGGCCACCAAGGCGACGACGGGUAGCCGGCCUGAGAGGGCGACCGGCCACACUGGGACUGAGACACGGCCCAGACUCCUACGGGAGGCAGCAGUGGGGAAUCUUGCGCAAUGGGCGAAAGCCUGACGCAGCGACGCCGCGUGGGGAUGACGGCCU